This 577-nucleotide ribosomal RNA is filed under the name uncultured bacterium. RNAcentral describes it as "bacterial SSU rRNA". It matches the Rfam family "Bacterial small subunit ribosomal RNA", at positions 57 to 631 of the family's 1533-position model. The record is from RNAcentral.
GCAAGUCGAACGGUAACAUUUCUAGCUUGCUAGAAGAUGACGAGUGGCGGACGGGUGAGUAAUGCUUGGGAACUUGCCUUUGCGAGGGGGAUAACAGUUGGAAACGACUGCUAAUACCGCAUAAUGUCUACGGACCAAACGGGGCUUAGGCUCCGGCGCAAAGAGAGGCCCAAGUGAGAUUAGCUAGUUGGUAAGGUAAAGGCUUACCAAGGCGACGAUCUCCAGCUGUUCUGAGAGGAAGAUCAGCCACACUGGGACUGAGACACGGCCCAGACUCCUACGGGAGGCAGCAGUGGGGAAUAUUGCACAAUGGGGGAAACCCUGAUGCAGCCAUGCCGCGUGUGUGAAGAAGGCCUUCGGGUUGUAAAGCACUUUCAGUUGUGAGGAAAAGUUAGUAGUUAAUACCUGCUAGCCGUGACGUUAACAACAGAAGAAGCACCGGCUAACUCCGUGCCAGCAGCCGCGGUAAUACGGAGGGUGCGAGCGUUAAUCGGAAUUACUGGGCGUAAAGCGCACGCAGGCGGUUUGUUAAGCUAGAUGUGAAAGCCCCGGGCUCAACCUGGGAUGGUCAUUUAGA